GUAACAAAUUGACAAUCCCCCCUCCCGGAGUGUGUAUGCCCCGGAGUGGAGGUUGGCUAACGAACUACGGCGAGGUCAGGAACACUAAUUAAGUUAAUUAUUGCUUAUCGUUAUAGCUUAAAUUUUGCGCAAAGCGGGCAUACUUUGGUAGAUGGAAACUGCGACUGCCGGACAGAGGUCACACAUUUACAUAAUGCCAAUUGAACGCGCUACAGAGACUGCAUAGCUAAAGAAAAGUUACUGCUUUAGCAAAGAGCUUCACGCGCGGGCACCUCCGACUUCGACCUGGCCGAUGAUGAAUCAUGCUGUUCACGGAUGACCGGCCCUAUUUGCCUUUUGUUGCCAUUUACAAGCAGGAGGUCAUUUCGUUGAUGGUGUAGUCUUUUGGAAAUCUGUUAUCAUGGUUUUGGAAGGUUAAUAACUCUGUAAAAUUGCAUUGCAUUGGGGCCUGUAGGCGGGCCGUAUUUUUGAAGUCCUAUGACGCGGCCUGUGGCCAAAAUAGGGCCGGUCAUCCGUGACUGUCAUCAGAUGACAGGACUUUUUCGCUUUGUACUCAUCCAAAUGCACCUAAACGCAUAGGAUUGUUGUGGAAUAUAGCACAUGGAAGACAUUGCGUGGCCGACCUUAAGGGCGCGCAUGAUGCCCCGGCCGCGCUUUAUGGGCCUCCAGGAGCCCCAAAACGGAUUGUAUAGGAUCGAUCCAUUGCAAAUAGUGAAAGGGCAUGGGCUCCGUUUCUGGUUGGGAUGUCAAGAUAGUUACACUGAUGGCCGAGCGACUUAAGCCUGCUAACAACCCACAAGAUGUAAUAAUGAUGACAUAACAAUCUAA
This 828-nucleotide long non-coding RNA is filed under the name Volvox carteri. Its description in RNAcentral is "long non-coding RNA (VCAR_LNC001280)". Lineage: Eukaryota; Viridiplantae; Chlorophyta; Chlorophyceae; Chlamydomonadales; Volvocaceae. The record is from RNAcentral.